RNAcentral lists this ribosomal RNA (484 nucleotides) under uncultured bacterium. Its description in RNAcentral is "partial 16S ribosomal RNA". It matches the Rfam family "Bacterial small subunit ribosomal RNA", at positions 30 to 507 of the family's 1533-position model. The record is from RNAcentral.
AUUGAACGCUGGCGGCAUGCCUAACACAUGCAAGUCGAACGGAAGAACGGGGCUUUGCCCUUGGUUGCGAGUGGCGCAGGGGAGAGAAACACAUGAGUACACGUCCUAGUGGGGGGGAAAGUCCGGAGAAAGCCGGUUUUAUAGCGCACGCGAUGUGCGGGAGAGAGGGGGGGACUUGCAGCUCUCGCGCUCAGGGGAUGCUAGGUCGGAUUUGCUAGUUGGUGGGGUAAAGGCCUACCAAGGCGACGAUCCGUAACUGGUCUGAGAGGAGGAUCAGUCACACUGGAACUGAGACACGGUCCAGACUCCUACGGGAGGCAGCAGUGGGGAAUAUUGGACAAUGGGCGAAAGCCUGAUCCAGCCAUGCCGCGUGUGUGAAGAAGGCCUUCGGAUUGUAAAGCACUUUAAGUUGGGAGGAAGGGCUGUAAGUUAAUACCUUGCUGUUUUGACGGUACCGGCAGAAUAAGCACCGGCUAACUUCGUG